CAGCUUGCUGGCGUGGAUUAGUGGCGAACGGGUGAGUAACACGUGAGUAACCUGCCCCCUACUCUGGGAUAAGCCUGGGAAACUGGGUCUAAUACUGGAUAUGACCAAUCACUGCAUGGUGUGUUGGUGGAAAGAUUUUUUGGUGGGGGAUGGACUCGCGGCCUAUCAGCUUGUUGGUGGGGUAAUGGCCUACCAAGGCGACGACGGGUAGCCGGCCUGAGAGGGCGACCGGCCACACUGGGACUGAGACACGGCCCAGACUCCUACGGGAGGCAGCAGUGGGGAAUAUUGCACAAUGGGCGAAAGCCUGAUGCAGCGACGCCGCGUGAGGGAUGACGGCCUUCGGGUUGUAAACCUCUUUCACCAGGGACGAAGCUAACGUGACGGUACCUGGAGAAGAAGCACCGGCUAACUACGUGCCAGCAGCCGCGGUAAUACGUAGGGUGCGAGCGUUGUCCGGAAUUAUUGGGCGUAAAGAGCUUGUAGGCGGUUUGUCGCGUCUGCUGUGAAAGACCGGGGCUUAACUCCGGUUCUGCAGUGGGUACGGGCAGACUAGAGUAUGGUAGGGGAGACUGGAAUUCCUGGUGUAGCGGUGAAAUGCGCAGAUAUCAGGAGGAACACCGAUGGCGAAGGCAGGUCUCUGGGCC
RNAcentral lists this ribosomal RNA (647 nucleotides) under Dermacoccus sp. b20. RNAcentral describes it as "bacterial SSU rRNA". It matches the Rfam family "Bacterial small subunit ribosomal RNA", at positions 76 to 735 of the family's 1533-position model. The record is from RNAcentral. Lineage: Bacteria; Bacillati; Actinomycetota; Actinomycetes; Micrococcales; Dermacoccaceae.